Non-coding RNA from Gonium pectorale, 46 nucleotides. The record is from Rfam. NCBI's taxonomy places the organism in Eukaryota, Viridiplantae, Chlorophyta, Chlorophyceae, Chlamydomonadales, Volvocaceae.
AACCCGGUGUUUUUCAACACCACCUUUAUUACAAUGGGACGGGCAU